CAUUGUUGAGGUUGGGCUCCCUGUCUCAAAUCGUUCCAAGUGCAGCGUAUCAAAAUCAUCACAAUAAAUCAAUAGCCACUUAACCAUUAUUGACAAUGAAAUAGAAUACAAAUGCCUGCCCAAAGGGUAGGUUGUUAUCCGCAUUUCCUUCCAAAUAAAAUUUGCUUCCAUCCACAUUGUCAUUGCGUUGGUAAUAACAUAAUGGCGAUUUGGUGGAAGCACCGGUUUAAUUAGACAAUGGAAAUGCACAUUGAAAGUAACCAUAUAUUAUGUAAUACUUAAUAAACAAGAAAACUAACCCAAACAAAGGCCACCCACUAAAAUAUAGACAGAUCAAAAGUCACAAUUCUCCACUGCAUAACUACAGGCCUCUCUAAUAUAAUUUAAAAGGAAAAAUACAUAUAAUAUAUUAUAAAAAAAGGGCUAAUUCCAGGACAGGCACGACUCUAGAGUAGGAAAGCUCGAAUAAGUGUCAAAGUCUAGCGCAGCAUGAGGCCCGCCAUCAGAUACCACGGGUUGUGGAAAAGAAACUGUCCCGGACCCAUUAACGGGUGCAGAGACCGAGCCAGAGCCAGAGCCCGAGCCCACAAUCGUUUGCUGUUGCUCUUCAUGAUGAUGAUCCAGCAUAAACGCCGACGUAUCUAAGGUCGGCAAGCACCCUCCAGCGCCAUUCAACCGGUUACCAGGUCUCUGUGGCUCCGGCUUCAGCACUGGUAUGGCAGGCAUCUGAGCGUUACCAAAUCUAACGCCGGUAACCUGUUGCACCAUCUGCCUGAAGCUGGCCGGAUCAGCUGUUAUGAACGUGGUCUGAGAGCGCUUAGUUGCACGAGACUUCCGUUUCGAAACUUUGAAAGGAGCACCUAGUAUCCCGAUCCCGUUUCGCUGGCGCUUGGGAGCUGCAGUUUCAGGGUCAGAACCCGAAAAGUUAGAAGCGGUAGGAGUAGCCGGCGGUGGGGUUUGGGAGCCCGAAACGAGGUUGACUAAGAAAUCGGGAGAGAGCGUUUCAGAAAUGGAGAAGGAAGAAGUAUAGUUAAUAUCAUUGGAAAAGGUUUUCUGGAGAGCUUUGGUUAGAGCAUCGGUGUCGCGAGCAUAAGCUUCAGCAAUCCAUGAGUCAGUAAAGGUGGGUCUAAAGAGAAAUGGUUCAAAACUGGCCAAAUUCUCCGAUGAUGCCAUGCUUUUUGCAGAUUUAUCCUAAAAACUCUUGUCAGGUUAGAAGCAAAUAACAAGAGAUGGUGAUGUUCAAAGCAUUUUCUGAAACUGGAGGCAGACUUGGAAGACACAGUUGGCGCUUUGU
This 1294-nucleotide unclassified non-coding RNA is filed under the name Hevea brasiliensis (rubber tree). Lineage: Eukaryota; Viridiplantae; Streptophyta; Magnoliopsida; Malpighiales; Euphorbiaceae. The record is from RNAcentral.